GUAUUUUGAAUUAAGUAUUCAUAAUAGGUUUUCAGACAAAGUGGUUUAAAAUAAAAGGUUGGUGUAGGUGUGAAGACCUCCCGAGAGAAGUCUCCAACACAACAUUGCACACAAGGUGAGUACUAUUUUUAAAAAGUGCAGUAAAACACUUAUUAUGAAUGAUCCUUCCGCAGGUUCACCUACGGAAA
RNAcentral lists this unclassified non-coding RNA (188 nucleotides) under uncultured fungus. Its description in RNAcentral is "sequence contains ITS1". Lineage: Eukaryota; Fungi. The record is from RNAcentral.